UAGCCUGAGAGGAGACUGUAGAGUUUGAGGCUAGCCUUGCUCUGCUAUGUGCUAUGGCACAUAUUCCUUCUGAACUGCUCUGGGACUGCUGGAGAUAACUCUGAUGCCCAUCUGCCAGAUCCCUUUGAGAUCACUGUACACUGGAGGAGCUGGAUGAAGCGGAAAAUACCUGCAAAAAAAGGCAAGAAGAUGGAGAAGUUUGGGAGGAGACAGAAAUCCAACCGUUUCUUACUUGUAACUCCGGAUCUGAAGAAAGGCACGAUAGCAGAUAAGGUGCGCUGACAGACAGGAUGGCCUCGAUGGCAAAUUGCCCAUCAGGUUGUCUUGGCUAUUUCUCUGGACUAUCCCUGUAAGGCUGCUCUGCCCUGCUGCUCUCUGCCUCCAGCAGAAAGGGAAGAGGGAGCUGUGAGUUCCCGC
Cuculus canorus (common cuckoo) is the source of this 417-nucleotide long non-coding RNA. RefSeq lists it as uncharacterized. The record is from RefSeq and is a predicted model, not a curated record. The transcript has 3 exons. NCBI's taxonomy places the organism in Eukaryota, Metazoa, Chordata, Aves, Cuculiformes, Cuculidae.